UUCGGGAGACGCUGAAGCCUCCCCUGCCCUAGAGCUGUGGCAGGAGAAAAGACACACCGUUGGCCAAGGACCUGCUGCUUCCCCGGCCCUGUGCUCACAGGAGCCUCCCGCGUCCUAUUCCCUCCAAGACUGUGCAUGGGCAGGAGGGGUCAGGAACCACAAGGACAUACACUGGACAUGCCAGCCACCCCUGGGAGCAGGACGCUUACCUGGAGACCCAAGAAUAGAGCCUGCUGGGUGCACAUUUUCCGGUCCUCAUCCCAACCAUUGAGAUGAAGAAAAGAACCACUACCAGAAUGCUGAGCACAGAUGCAGAGACCACUGGGGGAAAAGUUUUCCAGAAUCCAGACCCCUUGAUGGAGAAGUCAGCCUAAUGAAUCAUUGACACGUCUGGGCUUCCUGAGAACACUAUGGAUGGAGGUGUCCCAGUUCCUCCAGGAAAGCAGAGCUUCGGAGCGCUGCGCGGAGGCGAAGAAAAGCCUUUACUUAAAGAUGAGUCAGGAAGGCAGAGGGCCGGGGUGGAAAGGGCUGGAGGCGGCCAGGGGAGGCGGGUGCGGGGGCACUGGCUUCGGGUGAGUAUGUGACCCACCCCACACCCUAAAAGUCCACACUCGGUGGCAAACACUGUAUGUUCAGGAUCUCAUUCCACCCUCCAAAGACCCCGUGUCGGGGAUCCUGUCAUGCAGCUCCAUUGGACAGAUGGGGAAACUGAGGCAUAGGUAAACCAAGCCCUUCCCUGAGGGCCUGGACCCUGGCCUGUCAGACUCCAGCCUGCAGGCUCUUCACCACUCUGCUCAUCAGGCAGGAAGCAAGGGUCAGUGGGAUUCUGGAGUGUUAGGUCCUCCAGAACCUCUAAGCUGUUGCCUGGCAUGGGAUCAGGAUUCAGAAGCCGAGGCUGAAUCCCAGCUUAAUCUGCUCUGGAAAACAGAGGUGAUAGUCCCAACAUCACAGUCCUGUUGUGAGGGUGGAAAAGGCAGAUGUGUGCGCUGCAGGGAGCACGGGGCCUGCGCAGAUUGCUCAGUGAAUUCUGAAUAUACUCAAGAGAACAUGAACUGCACUAACAAUCCAACCCCAAAUGUACAAUGGCUCCAGUGCAAUCAAGUUGUAUGUCCAAAGCAGGUGUUCUUGAUUGGUAGGUAUCAUGAGAUGGAAUGAGGCUGGGUCUGUUCCGGGAUAGCCCCUGGGGAGGGCACCCACCUGUCAACACCCAGUUUCCAUCUUGCUGGCCAACUCUUUCUAUUGCCUUCUUAGCCUGCAUGCUCUGAUGGAGCAAGCUGCUAUGUGUGAUGUUCCCCUGGGCAAGGAAAGAAGGGCAGGUGGUCCUGCUCAUCUGCACUAUCUGCACUGGACCAGCAAAAAUGCGAGGAGUUCAUGGGAGGUUCUCAAAGGCCUGAAGUGGACAUAGCACAUGCUAUGUGCUAUGCUUCUGCUCACAUGCUAUUGGCUGGGAUGUAGUCACAUGAUCCCACCUACCUGCAGAGGAGGCUGGGAGAUGUAGUUGUGCUAUAUGCGCAGGAAGAAAAAAAAAUUUCUUGUUUGGUCGAACAGCUGGACAGUCUCACUUCACCUGGAGAGGUGAAAUUAUGUCUGAGGAAAUCCAGCGGGUCAGUAGCUGAGCCCAGCUUAGAGCUCAGGUUCCCCGUGUGCAUCUGAGUCCCAGGCUCUUCCCUCCACAUGUUGUGCUCCAGAGUGAGGCAGAGUCACAGGUGGCCAGUCAGAUCUCAGACAUGGGUUCAUCUGAAUAGGGGGAAGGAGGUGAACAGGGGGUCAACCUGCUAUCUCUCUUGCCUGGAGGAAUGACGGGUAGUGGGCAGAGCACCACAGCUUCAGGGCUCUGGGCUGUGAAAUCAGUCCAGAUGCAGAGUUGGCCUCAGGUACUCAUUGGGAACAGUUUUCUCACCUGCCCCACAAGGCUGCAGGGAGAGGAUCCAUUGUAUGGGAUUGUGUGAGGGUGAAGGAAGAUCUGAUACCCUCAUUGCUCGCCUUUUCCAGCUCCCACUUCUCUCAGGGCCCUGCUUUCUGAGGUUCAGGUCUGAGUUAAUCAAACUAAGGACUUUGGAUAAUGUUAGUUUCAGGGCUCAUCCUGCCCAGGGGUGUUUGAAUACAAUGGGAAGCUGGGGAGAGGAGAAGAAAUCAUGCAGGUCACUGAGGUCAAGUUUCUUCCAUCAAACAGAUGAGGACAAUGACACUCAGAUACUGGAUGCUUUAUGAAUAUGCAUAACCAAACCCAGAAAUCUACCUCUAGGAAUUUAGCCCUUAGAAACAAUCAGAGAUGUAUAUGGAGAUCUAAUGCAUAGGAUGUUGCUCAUAACAGUUAAAAACUGGAAAGAAUCUGCACGUGACCUCAGUGAGGUAAAGUUAUUUAUGCUACGCCCAUUCAAUGGAAAACUAGGCAACAAUUUCAUACUUGAACCGCAUGUUGUUGUCUUAGGACUGGAAGAUAUCUAAGGACAAGGAGAUUUUGACCUUUUAUGACUCUAAAUCUUAGAUGCUAAUGGCAUCUGAAAAUAUGCUGAGA
Molecule: long non-coding RNA, 2518 nt
Filed under: Homo sapiens (human)
Lineage: Eukaryota; Metazoa; Chordata; Mammalia; Primates; Hominidae
Description: HSALNT0004081
Source: RNAcentral